GUUGGGCACUCUAAGUUGACUGCCGGUGACAAACCGGAGGAAGGUGGGGAUGACGUCAAAUCAUCAUGCCCCUUAUGAUUUGGGCUACACACGUGCUACAAUGGACAAUACAAAGGGCAGCGAAACCGCGAGGUCAAGCAAAUCCCAUAAAGUUGUUCUCAGUUCGGAUUGUAGUCUGCAACUCGACUACAUGAAGCUGGAAUCGCUAGUAAUCGUAGAUCAGCAUGCUACGGUGAAUACGUUCCCGGGUCUUGUACACACCGCCCGUCACACCACGAGAGUUUGUAACACCCGAAGCCGGUGGAGUAACCUUUUAGGAGCUAGCCGUCGAAGGUGGGACAAAUGAUUGGGGUGAAGUCGUAACAAGGUAGCCGUAUCGGAAGGUGCGGCUGGAUCACCUCCUUUCUA
Molecule: ribosomal RNA, 408 nt
Filed under: Staphylococcus aureus
Lineage: Bacteria; Bacillati; Bacillota; Bacilli; Caryophanales; Staphylococcaceae
Description: bacterial SSU rRNA
Rfam family: Bacterial small subunit ribosomal RNA
Source: RNAcentral